GUUUCUUUUGAUGUGCAUUUGAUAUUCUUAUUAAACAUGUUAUAAAAAUAAGAUUUAUUAUUGCUGACUGGUUUAUUAACGUUUAUUGAAAUGUCCGAAACCUUGUGUUGGCCUUUAAUUCGAGCGAUGAAUUGCCUAUCUUUAUCAGUUCUUUCUAUGUAAUAUUGCAUCUUACUAGGUAACCAAGAUGGCGAACGCUGAAAUCCUGUAUUGUAAACAUAAUUCCUUAAAGGUCCAUUUCCUCCUAAAAUAAUCAGUGGAUUGAGCAUGCGUAGCAACACGGAAAGCACCCACAAUGCACGGUUGAUGUGAACCGGUG
RNAcentral lists this long non-coding RNA (319 nucleotides) under Mytilus galloprovincialis (Mediterranean mussel). Lineage: Eukaryota; Metazoa; Mollusca; Bivalvia; Mytilida; Mytilidae. The record is from RNAcentral.